Juglans regia (Persian walnut) is the source of this 3011-nucleotide long non-coding RNA. RefSeq lists it as uncharacterized. Lineage: Eukaryota; Viridiplantae; Streptophyta; Magnoliopsida; Fagales; Juglandaceae. The transcript has 2 exons. The record is from RefSeq and is a predicted model, not a curated record.
UAUAAAAGCAAACAUUUCACCAUCCAUGUCAAACGAAAAGAAGUUGGCUUUCAUGGUUGUAUGAUUUACUGAUCCGCCGGCAGAGACUUAGCUGAGAACUGCUUGGUCUUGAAAGAUUUAUUUUCGGUAAUUUUAUUUCUUUCCUGGUUCUAUUUGUCACAGUUAUUGGGCGUACCAUGAGAGACUGCUCCGGUGAUGAUUUUAUCAGAUGCCUUUAUAUCGUUCCAAUUUCUGAAAGCUAUAUCAAAGUUAAAGCUUUACCGUGUGGAACUGAAGGGAAAACUGAGGAGCUUUAAAAGACCAUAAACAUUAGCAUAAUUUAUGAUUCUAUUGUUGUGAAAAUAUAUUGCUAACUCUAUGUGUGGUUCAGUGGUUGUAGAGAGAGUCUCGUGCUAAAUUUUUUCAAUUUAAUUAGCUUUUUGGUUGUUGUGGUUCAUGGUGAUUGGCAGUAAGGGUAAUGGUUUAAGAUUUCGUAAUUUAGUCGUGAAAAUUAGACACUAUUAUUAUUGUGGAAGACUUCUUGGAUAAUUUUCUCGGUGCCGAGAAAGUAACCCACUUGAAGAUUUUUACCUUACUCUUAUGGCUCAUAACGUGGCGUCAAUUCGGAAUCUUUGAGCAUAUUUACUCUUUAGUUGUUUCACUCUGAUGUGUUUCACACACAGAUUGUGUUUGAAAAGUUUUCCUGUUGUAUGAUUUUUCUUGUGAUAUAUGUUACGUGUUUGGAAUGUUUCUUGUUUGAAACGUCAAAACUCAAACUAUAAUGAGUAAUGCUAGUUACGCAAGCGCCGCACGAUCUUUUGAAAAGAGUGGGUUCACUAUUGAAAAUUUAGUAUUUUUAUGUGGGUCCUGUAUUUACUCACAUUUUUUUAGAGAGAUUGUGCGGUCCUUAUGCACUUCACAAUGACAAAUAUCAUUUCUUUGUUAGUAAAUAGAGUUAGGCAUCCUCAUCAAUUAAGCUGUUUUUAUUUUAAUAGAAGUCUAAAGCUUAUCCUUAAGUAUUUAUAUUAGCUGGAAGUCUUACUGUAAACCUAUAUAAACACCACAUUUCAUUAAUAAAUUGCUGAAUCAUAUUUUGCAAAAAAGAAAAAAUGAUUGGUUUUUUGUGAUUCCAGUAAAAAUCUGAGGAGGUUUAAGGUUCCUUUAAAACCCUACCAUUUACUAGUAUCUUAAUUGAUGAGGAAACACUAGCAGUGCUUGUGGUAAAAUGCUCAAUGAACUGCUUUGGAAUGGAGGACAAAGAUAAAGCAUCCAGCUUCAUGAAUGGCCAUAAUGGCUGGAUAUGCACCUAUCGUUCGUAAUUUAAUUAGUUGGUUUCUAUGCUACUUGUAGAAACUAGAAACCCAUAUAUGAGGGAUUUAACUAUUUUAUUGCUAAAAACCUCUUCUAAUUUUGCAGUUUGUUUGUUAAGUUUGUAUGGAAGUAUGUAUCCACUUAAUAACAUAACUAUUUUCUAAUCCCUUCGAACAGUAAAGUGUAUUAAAAGGGGGGAAACCAAAAACAGUUAUUCAGUUUAUUUGUCCAAAGCAUGUUCUUUUGGAAGGAAAAAAAUAAGAGGUCAGUUUCUAAUUAUAGUGUUUCGGCUUUCAUGAUGUUCCUUUGUUAUCUAUUAUUUUAGGGGAAGCAAAUGUUAUUGGAUUGGUUUACACAAAUCAAGACCAAACAAUAGAGGUGUUCAGUUAGACACAUUGGCUAUGAGUUUGAAUAAGCAGAGACAAAGUGAAAAUUCAACUAUCUGGCACAACUGUGAUUGUAUAGCAAGUUAAUUUAGAUGUCUUCUUCACUGUCCUCCAUAAUAGUCGCACCUUAGCUUACUAUGACCAAAUGUUAGUAGGUUUUGAACAUUUUCUUCUUGAUUAGGUUCCUAUUUGAUCACUAGAGUUCUGUACAAUGUAGUGUCUUGUUAAAGAUAUUGUGCCUUGCAGUUCUAGCAGCAUUUGCUCUUUAUUCAUUCUCAACAAUGUAUGAUCAAAUCUAUAUGACCACUCAUUUUACACUUCAAGGAAGACUUUGUUGCAAGUCAAGCCUGUGUAUCAACCAUCAGUAACAAAGGUUUGGUUAUGGUUAUGGUUAUGGUUAUGGUUACAUCUUCCAAACAUUUUAUUGUGUGGGUAAGGGGGAGGAAAUGCUUGAAUGCUAAAUAUUUUCUUCAUUUCUUUUUUUUUUCCUUUUUUGGCUAUCUAUGACCGAAUGGAAUUUGUACAACUGUGACUUUCCCAAUGGUCGGAUGCCACUUCAAGAUGUGAUAGUUGAGGGAAUGGCAAGAUCUGGAAUAUAAAGAAACAAGGUCAGUGGCCAAAGACAUUGCUGAGAGGUGGAUCAGAACCAACUAUGUCUACAAGAAAAAAGGGAAAUGGACAAAAAAUAUGUUGGAAAAGUGUGGGGAAUUCAGAGUUGUGGAUACUGACUGGUUCUGUCUGUUCAAAGGGAGUUGUUUUGAAAGGCCUUGAGACCAGAAGAUAGAUUGCUAACGCCUUCACUACUAGACCGGGCGGGCACCAAGCCAGCAGAUAGUAGAGCACCAGGACUACUAACAGCGAUUGUGUCUGAAUGUCAUAACUUAGGACAUCCUACUGAGGAAAUUUAAGAGAUCAAGAAUGCAUUUUCUCAAAUUUUAAACCAGAAGCCUGUCUUGUUUCUGCUUUUGGUUAUAUACUGCUGAUUCAAGCUCCCUUAUGGUACGAGGGCUACACUAAGAACUUUUCCAUUACUUGAGACUAAACUCAUCAACAAGCUGAUAAUGAGAUUGGAAGAUCCAAGUUCCUUGUAAUUCUCCUCCAAAAUUACCUAGUGUAAUUAAGAGAGAAAGAGACAGUUGCUGGGUUCAUUCUGAUUGUGGGCUCUACACGUAGGCAAUGUCAAAUAUAAUGGGGUUCCCAUGUUGCUUCCACCCUACAUUUGGAAUGAACUGUAAAUGAUGUUUUACUCUUGCUUGUUGGGUAAUCUAUGAUGGGACCAAUGAAACUUCUUGCAUUUUCCUAAGUAAUGAAGGCUGCCUAAACUUGUUCUGUUUC